Molecule: ribosomal RNA, 180 nt
Filed under: uncultured Glomeromycotina
Lineage: Eukaryota; Fungi; Glomeromycota
Description: partial small subunit ribosomal RNA
Rfam family: Eukaryotic small subunit ribosomal RNA (bases 36-180)
Source: RNAcentral
GGACCAAUAUGUCGGUCGUGCUUCGGUACGUACUGUCAUUAUUGGUUUCUCCCUUCUGAAGAACCUUGAUGUCAUUAAUUUGGUGUCUUGGGGAAUCAGGACUGUUACUUUGAAAAAAUUAGAGUGUUUAAAGCAGGCUCGCGCUUGAAUACAUUAGCAUGGAAUAAUGAAAUAGGACGU